Delphinapterus leucas (beluga whale) is the source of this 585-nucleotide non-coding RNA. Lineage: Eukaryota; Metazoa; Chordata; Mammalia; Artiodactyla; Monodontidae. The record is from RefSeq and is a predicted model, not a curated record.
AAUCAGAAAGGUUAAAACUCAUUCCUCUACCCUCUUUUCCCAUUUGUUGAGGGCAAAGACAAGCAGAAGACUGAACCUUCAGGACCUGCCUACCCACCUGAGUGAAGCUGGGGAGGGAAUGGGAGUGAGGAGGAUUCAGCUAUAGCACAAGCCCUGCUUGGAUUCUCAGACCCCUGUGUCAAGCCAUGUCCAGCCAGGAGCACUCAGUGGCUUUCCUCUCUGGAGAUCUACCAUCUCUUCUAAUAGGUGUCAUGAAUGCGUUAAUUCCCCGGGAAGGGAGGAAGGAUUGCUGGGCUGAAGGCAUGGCCAAGGCAGGAGUGUAGGGUGGAGGCGAGCUUCCCCAGAGCCUGAGUGAUGCCCAAGGGACACUUGCAGCAGCCCUGGAUGGAAGGAGUUAUCUCCCUGUUUUGCAAAGUCAGCUCAGAGAAAGGAAAUGACUUGUCCCAGGUCAUGCAACUAGAACACGACAGAGUUGACCCACUUGCCUCCAGAGUCCUUGUUCUUAACUGUUACAUCGCAUCUCCUCUCUUCAAUAAGAUGAAUUCACGUGGUAUUUAUAAACAUGGAAGAAAUAUAAAAUUUGGA